This 253-nucleotide ribosomal RNA is filed under the name uncultured bacterium. Its description in RNAcentral is "partial 16S ribosomal RNA". It matches the Rfam family "Bacterial small subunit ribosomal RNA", at positions 524 to 776 of the family's 1533-position model. The record is from RNAcentral.
UACGUAGGGGGCGAGCGUUGUCCGGAAUUACUGGGCGUAAAGGGUGCGUAGGCGGCCUUUUAAGUCAGAUGUGAAAGGCUGCGGCUUAACCGCAGGACUGCAUUUGAAACUGGAAGGCUUGAGUGUCGGAGAGGGUAGUGGAAUUCCCAGUGUAGCGGUGAAAUGCGUAGAUAUUGGGAGGAACACCAGUGGCGAAGGCGACUACCUGGACGAUAACUGACGCUGAGGCACGAAAGCUAGGGGAGCAAACAGG